This 465-nucleotide ribosomal RNA is filed under the name uncultured bacterium. RNAcentral describes it as "partial 16S ribosomal RNA". It matches the Rfam family "Bacterial small subunit ribosomal RNA", at positions 338 to 795 of the family's 1533-position model. The record is from RNAcentral.
CCUACGGGAGGCAGCAGUGGGGAAUAUUGCACAAUGGGCGCAAGCCUGAUGCAGCCAUGCCGCGUGUAUGAAGAAGGCCUUAGGGUUGUAAAGUACUUUCAGCGGGGAGGAAGGGUCUGUGGUUAAUAACCGCAGUCAUUGACGUUACCCGCAGAAGAAGCACCGGCUAACUCCGUGCCAGCAGCCGCGGUAAUACGGAGGGUGCAAGCGUUAAUCGGAAUUACUGGGCGUAAAGCGCACGCAGGCGGUCUGUCAAGUCGGAUGUGAAAUCCCCGGGCUUAACCCGGGAACGGCAUUCGAAACUGUCAGGCUGGAGUCUCGUAGAGGGGGGUAGAAUUCCAGGUGUAGCGGUGAAAUGCGUAGAGAUCUGGAGGAAUACCGGUGGCGAAGGCGCCCCCCUGGACGAAGACUGACGCUCAGGUGCGAAAGCGUGGGGAGCAAACAGGAUUAGAUACCCCAGUAGUC